Molecule: ribosomal RNA, 433 nt
Filed under: uncultured bacterium
Lineage: Bacteria
Description: partial 16S ribosomal RNA
Rfam family: Bacterial small subunit ribosomal RNA
Source: RNAcentral
AACGAACGCUGGCGGCAUGCCUAACACAUGCAAGUCGAACGAGACCUUCGGGUCUAGUGGCGCACGGGUGCGUAACGCGUGGGAAUCUACCCUCAGGUUCGGAAUAACUCAGAGAAAUUUGAGCUAAUACCGGAUGAUGACGUAAGUCCAAAGAUUUAUCGCCUGAGGAUGAGCCCGCGUAGGAUUAGGUAGUUGGUGAGGUAAAGGCUCACCAAGCCGACGAUCCUUAGCUGGUCUGAGAGGAUGAUCAGCCUCACUGGGACUGAGACACGGCCCAGACUCCUACGGGAGGCAGCAGUGGGGAAUAUUGGACAAUGGGCGAAAGCCUGAUCCAGCAAUGCCGCGUGAGUGAUGAAGGCCUUAGGGUUGUAAAGCUCUUUUACCCGGGAUGAUAAUGACAGUACCGGGAGAAUAAGCUCCGGCUAACUCCGUG